GCGCCCGUAGCUCAGUUGGAUAGAGCGCCGGCCUCCGGAGCCGGGUGCCAGGGGUUCGAAUCCUCUCGGGCGCG
RNAcentral lists this transfer RNA (74 nucleotides) under bacterium. RNAcentral's name for it is "tRNA-Arg". It matches the Rfam family "tRNA". Rfam says of the family: Transfer RNA (tRNA) molecules are approximately 80 nucleotides in length. Their secondary structure includes four short double-helical elements and three loops (D, anti-codon, and T loops). The record is from RNAcentral. RNAcentral also lists the same sequence under 3 other names.